UGAUGGCUGUUUCUCUCACUGCUUGGGGCCUUAGGUGGUAGGAUUUUAGUCCAUCAUAUAUCUAAGUUGACUUGUCUUCACUCAGGGCACCCUGAGGAUGGUUUGGCUGUCCGUCAGUGCCUUCUGAUUUUUGCGGAGUCAAACAAUC
Hippopotamus amphibius kiboko is the source of this 148-nucleotide small nucleolar RNA. RefSeq annotates it as small nucleolar RNA SNORA79. The record is from RefSeq and is a predicted model, not a curated record. The transcript has a single exon. NCBI's taxonomy places the organism in Eukaryota, Metazoa, Chordata, Mammalia, Artiodactyla, Hippopotamidae.